Molecule: ribosomal RNA, 259 nt
Filed under: uncultured bacterium
Lineage: Bacteria
Description: partial 16S ribosomal RNA
Rfam family: Bacterial small subunit ribosomal RNA
Source: RNAcentral
UGGCGGACGGGUGAGUAACGCGUGGGCAACCUGCCCCGUACCGGGGGAGUAACAGCCGGAAACGGCUGCUAAUACCGCAUACGCUUGGAAGGCCGCAUGGCUUUUCAAGCAAAACUCCGGUGGUACGGGAUGGGCCCGCGUCUGAUUAGCUUGUUGGCGGGGUAACGGCCCACCAAGGCGACGAUCAGUAGCCGGCCUGAGAGGGCGGCCGGCCACAUUGGGACUGAGACACGGCCCAGACUCCUACGGGAGGCAGCAG